Molecule: long non-coding RNA, 339 nt
Filed under: Bos taurus (domestic cattle)
Lineage: Eukaryota; Metazoa; Chordata; Mammalia; Artiodactyla; Bovidae
Description: long non-coding RNA NONBTAT018357
Source: RNAcentral
CCAAAACACCCUUAUUAAAAGAAAAACAGGAGAGAUUUUUGCUAAAAAUUUUCCUUAUGAGCUGCUAACUCUAGCCUAAACUCCAGUACAACGUGAAUUCUUUAUUGUUGAUGAAAGUGUUAUUUUGAAGGCAAAGAUUUUUACAUUUAGUCUUAUUGCAGUGAUCAUUUCUUUAAAAAUGUUUGAAUUUUCUCAUCUUGCGCCAUCAGCAGCUCAUAAUAUCACUAGUUUUGCUCUUUACCUAAAGUAUUAUUUUUUUCUCCAAAAUUUUAGUUAGCUGUUUGUAAUAUAAUUUUAAGAUUUGUUUUGCAAUUAUUUUUGUCCUCAAAGUGUAUUUCA